CGGACGGGUGAGUAAUGUCUGGGAAACUAGCCUGAUGGAGGGGGGUAACUACUGGAAACGGUAGCUAAUACCGCAUAACGUCGCAAGACCAAAGAGGGGGACCUUAGGGCCUCUUGCCAUCGGAUGUGCCCAGAUGGGAUUAGCUAGUAGGUGGGGUAACGGCUCACCUAGGCGACGAUCCCUAGCUGGUCUGAGAGGAUGACCAGCCACACUGGAACUAAGACACGGUCCAG
This 233-nucleotide ribosomal RNA is filed under the name uncultured bacterium. RNAcentral's name for it is "partial 16S ribosomal RNA". It matches the Rfam family "Bacterial small subunit ribosomal RNA", at positions 99 to 334 of the family's 1533-position model. The record is from RNAcentral.